This is a non-coding RNA of Coturnix japonica (Japanese quail), 797 nucleotides long. Lineage: Eukaryota; Metazoa; Chordata; Aves; Galliformes; Phasianidae. The record is from RefSeq and is a predicted model, not a curated record.
GAAUAGGAAAUAAAAUAUGUGCCCUGACAAAAUGGUGUUUGUGCAUUUACCUGGAUGGGGCAAUUUGUUUCAUUAAUGGGGAGAUGAUCUUAAAGAGGCAUGAAGUUUCAGGCGGGAGAAGGAGACCCUUGGGGUCUGAUGACGGGAGCAAAGGCACUCUUCUGUUUGACAGCAGGAAAGACGGAAGAGGAGAAUGGAAGGAUGGAAGAAGUGCUGGAGGAGCCAACUGUUGGACUUGAAGACAUUACUGCAAGAGAAGAAAAAGUUAUUCCUCAUCAGAGAUGCAAUAAGAUGUUUGGUACUGUCUGUCCCAAAUUGACUGUUUGAGGGAAGUCUAAGUAGAGAGGUAGUUAUAUUGAAUAGCCAGUUCAGAAGAAGGUAUGUCUAAUUAGCCAAAACUGUAAGAACUGACCAAUAUCUCUUGUGUUUUUCAAACGAAUCCCUGAGAUACUAGAACACAAACUCUGAGCCUCUUAGAGAAUUUUCACUGAAUCUCAAAAGCUUCUUUUGAAAGAUAUUGCUCUAUUAUUUGAUGCAGUAAAUGAGAUUAAAUGGGGCCAAACCUAAAAGAAUUAAAUCACUUACUUCCAUAUGGGGAUCCUGUUGGAGAGCCGUUAAUGAAACCAGGGGAGCCUGGAACACCCAGGUUUGACAUGGGGACGUUGCUGUAGCCAUUCAUGCUAUUGCUGGAAGUGCUAUAAUUGGACUGUUGAGGUGUGGAACUGGAUGAGUAACCGCGGGGUGAGAUGCUGCUUGUAUUACGAAUGUAACCUAAAAAUAAAACAUACUUCAUAGAA